GCCUUUGUGGUGUAGUGGUCAGCACACUCGACGUGUAACCGAGAGGUCCAUGGUUUGAUUCUUGGUGAAGGCG
RNAcentral lists this transfer RNA (73 nucleotides) under Stegodyphus mimosarum. It matches the Rfam family "tRNA". From Rfam's summary of the family: Transfer RNA (tRNA) molecules are approximately 80 nucleotides in length. Lineage: Eukaryota; Metazoa; Arthropoda; Arachnida; Araneae; Eresidae. The record is from Rfam by way of RNAcentral.